UUAGAUUCUAACAGUGUCAGAAGCAAAACCAAAACCCUAAAAAACAGUACAGUGAGAACGUACUUUAAGAAAUGAAAGUCAGUUUUAUGGUUGCUUAUGGUUAAGUUCUUUAACACAUAUGUAGGCUUCCACAUUUAAAAAGGCUACGUAUGCACUGACAAAACAAAUGCUAGGAGCUCAACACUUUUUAAUUUAUGCCUAUUUGUUUGGUGUCAACAAAUAAUUAAGAACCUAACUUCUGAGACAAAUUAUUUUUCUGCUGCAAUGUAUUUGAGAAAAUGUCAUUUACAGUGUUCUUCCUAUAGAAAGCUUUGAGAGGAUAUCAGCAUACCGGUCUGUAGUCUUCAAAACAUUAGGGGGCACCAUGAUCUCACAGGCUUAAAAUGAUAUAAGUUUAAGUACAGAUACUUUUCCUGUCCAAAGUAAACAGGAAACAGCAUAAAAUAGCAAAAUCAACUCCUGGAGUCACUCCCUAGUGUGAGAUUAUGAUACAGUUCUCAAUAAAAUUUCCAACAGAAGACAACCCAGACAUUUAGUAGAAUAUAGACUACACCCUCCUUUCUGUAAGAGUAAUAAAACUAACAGACUAAUGGAUGCAAUAUAAGCAGCUUGCUUUCGAGUCUUUAUUUAAAUCUUACAUUUUCCUUCAGGGUUUCAUUCUGGGAAUACGACAUUUUCAGCUCAAGCAUUAGUUCAAUCCAUAAAGUAAGUCUGUGUACAGGCAGGGAGCGCACAGAUGCAGCUUGGGAUGCAGCUGCUCUAAAUCCCUGGCACUGAAUUCGGUAUCAUGCUUGGGGUAAUCAUCACAAGGUAUCAGACUACACCACCAAACAUGCGUGUGUUGUAAUGAUGACAUGUAAACCUCACAGCACUACAGCAGCCAUUAACAGUGUCAGCUCUGACACGCAGACAUGGCAGACGGUUUACUUAGCAGGUGAUGUACUUAGCAGAUCUAUCUGGGAAGGAAUUGGAAAGAUGUGUGUCUGUGCAGAGAGAAGGUGUGUGUCUGUCCAAAGGGUUGCUGUUCUUGUAGAAGGACUACAGCUGUGACUUCAAGCACUGACUUGCAGGCCUGAAAAACAAGAUGCCUUGCUAUUGUUCCUCUGCGGCUGAAAUGAUGGUGUGCUUGACAUAACAGAUAAGAAACUGGACAGCAAGCAUGUAAGCAAGAUGCCUGUCACCCCUAGAAGACUAACACUGGUCUCCCUAGAGUUCGUGUGGUUUGACCUAGACACCUGAGGCCUUACUCACAUCAGCUGUGAAGGAUCAUUUUCAGUGGAAAUCCACACUAUAAAAAACUAGCCACAUGUAACAUUUAAGGAUAUAUGGUCUACUGCACAAAAUGAAAUAAUAUGGUAGUAGUGUGCUUUGAAUAUGGAUAAAGUAAUCAACCAACUAACAUUUCACAAUGGAAAAUGACUAGCAGUAGGCAAAAGUAUGACAUAAUACAUGAGAAACUC
This 1460-nucleotide long non-coding RNA is filed under the name Strigops habroptila (Kakapo). Its description in RNAcentral is "lncRNA (ENSSHBG00005001899.1)". Lineage: Eukaryota; Metazoa; Chordata; Aves; Psittaciformes; Psittacidae. The record is from RNAcentral.